AAAAGCUCAAACGGUUGAGCGUUCGACUGUUAAUCGAAAAGUUAUUGGUUCAAAUCCAAUUUAGA
This 65-nucleotide transfer RNA is filed under the name Chrysochromulina sp. NIES-1333. RNAcentral's name for it is "tRNA-Asn". It matches the Rfam family "tRNA", at positions 6 to 65 of the family's 71-position model. From Rfam's summary of the family: Transfer RNA (tRNA) molecules are approximately 80 nucleotides in length. Lineage: Eukaryota; Haptophyta; Prymnesiales; Chrysochromulinaceae. The record is from RNAcentral.